CAGCGAGCGCGAGCGCGGCGGGUGGAGGAGGGCAAGGAGGUCGGAGCGGAGGGAGAGGGAGGUUUGGGAUCUUGUCGCGGACGGAGGAACGGGGCGGCGGUAGUAGAGGAAGCAGCUCGGCUGCUGGGUACCGCGCGGGCAGACGAGGCGGGCGCGAGCGCAGCGGGGGAGAGGAGAAGGAGCGCGGAGCGGAGAGAGAGGGAGGAUUGGGAUUGGGUGAGGGCGGAGGGACGGGGCGGCGGCCGGCGGCGGCGAGCGGACCCGUGGGUAGGAGCUGGAGUUCGACCCGGUCCGCUGCCGGUACCGCACCUAGAGAACGGGGAGAGAAGCACGAGAAAAGGGAGCUAGACAGCCCUGGUGGGAGGAGGAGGGCAGGAGAGGGUACGGGUGGGAGGAGGAGGCGCAGGAGAGCAAGAGGAGAGGCCGCCAGCCGCUGCUCCGCAGCCUUGACUGCCUCGUCGCCCCGGCAGCUCGCUCCCGUGCUCGUCCCAUGUCUGGGAUCGGCACGCACACGUAUUCCAGCUCGUGCUGUCGCUACUACCCGCGGCAGCGGUAGCCGGCCUCAUCGUGUACGAGUGCGGCGACGAGGCAUCCCAAGUAGUAGCACAACGGUAGCAGGAACAAAAAACGCACGUGCGUCCUUUGGUUGUCAGAAGUUACAUCACUCUCGACCUACACAACAGGCGGUCGACUCGCCGUUCGGCAACUACGUUCAGCAACAUGUACCACGACGAUAAUUUAAGAUCGAUCCCGUACUUUGUCUUCUUUCGAACUCUGUUAGUAGUACACGGACGAGUUUCCGAACCAAUUGUUUCCACUGUUAUUCUACACACCUGUUGAUUAACGGUCCACCGAUUGAACUACCAAAAUAACGACAACGUAUACACACUCUAAAGAAAGGAGUGAUGGGUACGACUGUAUUUAUAAGACAACAAGAUAAAGUCUAAUGUGCUAGACGAAAGAAUAUAAGAGAUACGUGUUUAAUAAAUGAAGGAACUCGAUACUAAAAUCUGACAGUUAUCAACUAGUUACACCUCCAUUCUUUCUAACAAACUACGCAAAUCGAUAUAGUCAAGUACUCAUAAACGUCGAUACAUGUGAGUCCACUAGUAAGUAACUAAGUGGGUAAAGAAAGAGGAAUGUUAAUUAAGAGAUUUAGAACUCAGGUAACUAACUAAACAAAGGUACUCAAUGAUACUCCAUAACACACACUUCCUAGAAUGACGGUAUCAAAACACAUACUGUGGUUUAUUUCAAGUGCCGGAAUUUACCUCCCAAUUAAUUUCACCAGGGUACAAUGAAUUUAAGUAUAAACUAUAGAAUACCAUACAACGAAGUCGUUAACACAGUAAACGAAUUAACCGUCUAGGCCGGUUCCCACUAAUUCCGCGGUUAGUGUAAAAGUACGUAGGACUCGCUCCUCCUCGCCACCUAGUGAGAGCACUACAACCGGUACAACCUACGUUGGCCGCUAGACGAGCGCCUUCUACUCGACGUGACCUACACCUCGACGCGACCUCGUCGCCUCGCCGCCUAAACGCCGCCGCGGCAGCAGGAGUACAACAGUAGUAGGAGUGCUCAGGUGUGUACCUCUUCCUCGUCGGCGGUACCUCAUGAUGUCCUCGCCUAGUACGGGUUGUCCUGGUGCGGGUCCUGUACCGGCACCUAGUUUGACGACGUGGGACCCCGACCACGAACACUACACGCUGCUCCUCUUCGCUAAACUUUAGGACCCUCGUUUCCUCCUUCUGCUGCUACCCCUAUCGCUAAGUUUUGUCCCUAUCGCUACAUUUAAGGAAACAAAAGUGGACCAACAUUGCAAAAGAAGUUGUUGUAUAAAACCUUGCCUCCCUCAUCAAAAUACGGCCAUAACUCGUGGUAAUACAGAGCGAGGAUAGUGUUAAAUUAUAAAGAGGAAGUAACAUAACAAUAGUAUAUACUUAUGUGUACUAUUUGGACCUAAUGAUAGCUGAUUCGUAAGGGACGA
RNAcentral lists this ribosomal RNA (1987 nucleotides) under Triticum aestivum (bread wheat). Its description in RNAcentral is "partial small subunit ribosomal RNA". Lineage: Eukaryota; Viridiplantae; Streptophyta; Magnoliopsida; Poales; Poaceae. The record is from RNAcentral.